Molecule: ribosomal RNA, 253 nt
Filed under: uncultured bacterium
Lineage: Bacteria
Description: partial 16S ribosomal RNA
Rfam family: Bacterial small subunit ribosomal RNA
Source: RNAcentral
GACAGAGGUGCCAAGCGUUAGGCGGAAUCACUGGGCUUAAAGCGUGUGUAGGCGGAAUGGUAAGUACCUUGUGAAAUCCCACGGCUCAACCGUGGAACUGCUUGGUAUACUGCUUUUCUUGAGCCACUUAGGGGCUACCGGAACAAACGGUGGAGCGGUGAAAUGCGUAGAUAUCGUUUGGAACGCCAAUGGUGAAAACAGGUAGCUGGGGAUGUGCCGACGCUGAGACACGAAAGCCAGGGGAGCGAACGGG